UUUAUGGAGAGUUUGAUCCUGGCUCAGGAUGAACGCUGGCGGCGUGCCUAAUACAUGCAAGUCGAGCGAACGGACGAGAAGCUUGCUUCUCUGAUGUUAGCGGCGGACGGGUGAGUAACACGUGGAUAACCUACCUAUAAGACUGGGAUAACUUCGGGAAACCGUAGCUAAUACCGGAUAAUAUUUUGAACCGCAUGGUUCAAAAGUGAAAGACGGUCUUGCUGUCACUUAUAGAUGGAUCCGCGCUGCAUUAGCUAGUUGGUAAGGUAACGGCUUACCAAGGCAACGAUGCAUAGCCGACCUGAGAGGGUGAUCGGCCACACUGGAACUGAGACACGGUCCAGACUCCUACGGGAGGCAGCAGUAGGGAAUCUUCCGCAAUGGGCGAAAGCCUGACGGAGCAACGCCGCGUGAGUGAUGAAGGUCUUCGGAUCGUAAAACUCUGUUAUUAGGGAAGAACAUAUGUGUAAGUAACUGUGCACAUCUUGACGGUACCUAAUCAGAAAGCCACGGCUAACUACGUGCCAGCAGCCGCGGUAAUACGUAGGUGGCAAGCGUUAUCCGGAAUUAUUGGGCGUAAAGCGCGCGUAGGCGGUUUUUUAAGUCUGAUGUGAAAGCCCACGGCUCAACCGUGGAGGGUCAUUGGAAACUGGAAAACUUGAGUGCAGAAGAGGAAAGUGGAAUUCCAUGUGUAGCGGUGAAAUGCGCAGAGAUAUGGAGGAACACCAGUGGCGAAGGCGACUUUCUGGUCUGUAACUGACGCUGAUGUGCGAAAGCGUGGGGAUCAAACAGGAUUAGAUACCCUGGUAGUCCACGCCGUAAACGAUGAGUGCUAAGUGUUAGGGGGUUUCCGCCCCUUAGUGCUGCAGCUAACGCAUUAAGCACUCCGCCUGGGGAGUACGACCGCAAGGUUGAAACUCAAAGGAAUUGACGGGGACCCGCACAAGCGGUGGAGCAUGUGGUUUAAUUCGAAGCAACGCGAAGAACCUUACCAAAUCUUGACAUCCUUUGACAACUCUAGAGAUAGAGCCUUCCCCUUCGGGGGACAAAGUGACAGGUGGUGCAUGGUUGUCGUCAGCUCGUGUCGUGAGAUGUUGGGUUAAGUCCCGCAACGAGCGCAACCCUUAAGCUUAGUUGCCAUCAUUAAGUUGGGCACUCUAAGUUGACUGCCGGUGACAAACCGGAGGAAGGUGGGGAUGACGUCAAAUCAUCAUGCCCCUUAUGAUUUGGGCUACACACGUGCUACAAUGGACAAUACAAAGGGCAGCGAAACCG
RNAcentral lists this ribosomal RNA (1275 nucleotides) under Staphylococcus aureus. RNAcentral describes it as "bacterial SSU rRNA". It matches the Rfam family "Bacterial small subunit ribosomal RNA", at positions 1 to 1257 of the family's 1533-position model. Lineage: Bacteria; Bacillati; Bacillota; Bacilli; Caryophanales; Staphylococcaceae. The record is from RNAcentral.